GAUGAACGCUGGCGGCGUGCCUAAUACAUGCAAGUCGAGCGAACGGACGAGAAGCUUGCUUCUCUGAUGUUAGCGGCGGACGGGUGAGUAACACGUGGAUAACCUACCUAUAAGACUGGGAUAACUUCGGGAAACCGGAGCUAAUACCGGAUAAUAUUUUGAACCGCAUGGUUCAAAAGUGAAAGACGGUCUUGCUGUCACUUAUAGAUGGAUCCGCGCUGCAUUAGCUAGUUGGUAAGGUAACGGCUUACCAAGGCAACGAUGCAUAGCCGACCUGAGAGGGUGAUCGGCCACACUGGAACUGAGACACGGUCCAGACUCCUACGGGAGGCAGCAGUAGGGAAUCUUCCGCAAUGGGCGAAAGCCUGACGGAGCAACGCCGCGUGAGUGAUGAAGGUCUUCGGAUCGUAAAACUCUGUUAUUAGGGAAGAACAUAUGUGUAAGUAACUGUGCACAUCUUGACGGUACCUAAUCAGAAAGCCACGGCUAACUACGUGCCAGCAGCCGCGGUAAUACGUAGGUGGCAAGCGUUAUCCGGAAUUAUUGGGCGUAAAGCGCGCGUAGGCGGUUUUUUAAGUCUGAUGUGAAAGCCCGCGGCUCAACCGUGGAGGGUCAUUGGAAACUGGAAAACUUGAGUGCAGAAGAGGAAAGUGGAAUUCCAUGUGUAGCGGUGAAAUGCGCAGAGAUAUGGAGGAACACCAGUGGCGAAGGCGACUUUCUGGUCUGUAACUGACGCUGAUGUGCGAAAGCGUGGGGAUCAAACAGGAUUAGAUACCCUGGUAGUCCACGCCGUAAACGAUGAGUGCUAAGUGUUAGGGGGUUUCCGCCCCUUAGUGCUGCAGCUAACGCAUUAAGCACUCCGCCUGGGGAGUACGACCGCAAGGUUGAAACUCAAAGGAAUUGACGGGGACCCGCACAAGCGGUGGAGCAUGUGGUUUAAUUCGAAGCAACGCGAAGAACCUUACCAAAUCUUGGCAUCCUUUGACAACUCUAGAGAUAGAGCUUUCCCCUUCGGGGGACAAAGUGACAGGCGGUGCAUGGUUGUCGUCAGCUCGUGUCGUGAGAUGUUGGGUUAAGUCCCGCAACGAGCGCAACCCUUAAGCUUAGUUGCCAUCAUUAAGUUGGGCACUCUAAGUUGACUGCCGGUGACAAACCGGAGGAAGGUGGGGAUGACGUCAAAUCAUCAUGCCCCUUAUGAUUUGGGCUACACACGUGCUACAAUGGACAAUACAAAGGGCAGCGAAACCGUGAGGUCAAGCAAAUCCCAUAAAGUUGUUCUCAGUUCGGAUUGUAGUCUGCAACUCGACUACAUGAAGCUGGAAUCGCUAGUAAUCGUAGAUCAGCAUGCCACGGUGAAUACGUUCCCGGGUCU
This 1372-nucleotide ribosomal RNA is filed under the name uncultured bacterium. RNAcentral's name for it is "bacterial SSU rRNA". It matches the Rfam family "Bacterial small subunit ribosomal RNA", at positions 28 to 1381 of the family's 1533-position model. The record is from RNAcentral.